ACACCACAAGAUCUGUUGAAAGAUGUUAAGGGUGAAAGCUAGCUGAAGAAUGCUAAUACUCCCAGGGAUUUUCUUUUGUGGAUUUAAACUCCCUUCUCUCCAUCUAGAUCAUGUUUCUAACGGAUACUGCAUUCCUGAGGACAGGAACCAAAGCCCAUGGAAAUCUGCUGGUCAGAAACUCAGUCUACCUUCCUGUAUGGCCAUUCUGGUUAGCAUAGAAUAGCAGCAACACAACCCCUUUCAGAUAGGAUCUUUCCAGAG
This is a long non-coding RNA of Pipra filicauda (Wire-tailed manakin), 261 nucleotides long. RefSeq lists it as uncharacterized. The record is from RefSeq and is a predicted model, not a curated record. The transcript is spliced from 3 exons. Lineage: Eukaryota; Metazoa; Chordata; Aves; Passeriformes; Pipridae.